Molecule: unclassified non-coding RNA, 229 nt
Filed under: uncultured fungus
Lineage: Eukaryota; Fungi
Description: sequence contains ITS1, 5.8S rRNA gene
Rfam family: 5.8S ribosomal RNA (bases 181-229)
Source: RNAcentral
UUUCCGUAGGUGAACCUGCGGAAGGAUCAUUAUCGAGAUGAUAGUUUUUCUAUCGUUUUCACACUUUGUUUUUGAGAAUAUGCUUCGGCGAGACACCGAAAGGUCGUCGACGUUGUGGGCGAGAGCUCGCCGAAAUAAAACUCCUUUUAUCUAUUGUCAGUUACAAACCAAAUAAAUAAAAACUUUCAACAACUGAUCUCUUGGUUCUGGCAUCGAUGAAGAACGCAGC